Long non-coding RNA from Orbicella faveolata, 242 nucleotides. NCBI's taxonomy places the organism in Eukaryota, Metazoa, Cnidaria, Anthozoa, Scleractinia, Merulinidae. The record is from RefSeq and is a predicted model, not a curated record.
CAGGAGAAUCGGACGAAUCAUCGCAAUUCCAGAGGAUGGUUGGCUCCUAGGAAUAAAUUCCACUUCUGGAAUCAGACAUUGCAAUGGAGGAGAUCACGGUUAUGACAACUUGGAUGUUAACAUGCGGACUCUUUUUGUGGCUCACGGUCCCGCUUUCAAGAAAGGAAAAGUAGUGGAGCAUUUUCAGAAUACCGAGCUUUACAGCAUGAUGGCAGGUAAAUGUCAUGUUAUUCGUUGUUUGA